UACGUAGGGCGCAAGCGUUAUCCGGAAUUAUUGGGCGUAAAGAGCUCGUAGGCGGUUUGUCGCGUCUGCUGUGAAAUCCCGAGGCUCAACCUCGGGCCUGCAGUGGGUACGGGCAGACUAGAGUGCGGUAGGGGAGAUUGGAAUUCCUGGUGUAGCGGUGGAAUGCGCAGAUAUCAGGAGGAACACCGAUGGCGAAGGCAGAUCUCUGGGCCGUUACUGACGCUGAGGAGCGAAAGGGUGGGGAGCAAACAGG
RNAcentral lists this ribosomal RNA (253 nucleotides) under uncultured bacterium. RNAcentral's name for it is "partial 16S ribosomal RNA". It matches the Rfam family "Bacterial small subunit ribosomal RNA", at positions 524 to 776 of the family's 1533-position model. The record is from RNAcentral.